RNA transcript from Alligator mississippiensis (American alligator), 5660 nucleotides. It is a transcript of the gene named potassium voltage-gated channel modifier subfamily G member 4, with no coding region annotated. The transcript is spliced from 3 exons. The record is from RefSeq and is a predicted model, not a curated record. NCBI's taxonomy places the organism in Eukaryota, Metazoa, Chordata, Crocodylia, Alligatoridae.
GUCUCUCCAUUCUCUUCGUGGCCACCACAGCCAUAAGCCUUUGUGUUAGCACAAUGCCAGACUUAAGAGCUGAAGAAGACAGGCUGACUAUGGAACCAAGCAAGGAUCUAAUUGAGGGCAGCUGAUCAGACAUCUAACACCGAGGGUGUGGUUGCCAGGAGGUUUGGGUUCAGGGCUCGAUCAGCCAUGGACUCACUCUGCAGUAAUGAUCAAGUUACUUUCCCCAUCUGUAAAAUGGAAACAACACUGAUGUACUCACGUGGCUGUUGUGACCAAAGUGCCCGAUGUAUGCUAAAUCAGUAAUGUUGUUAGCCUUUCUUGUAAGUACAGCACAGUAGAACCCGACCCUCCACAGGGUUAGAUUUUGCCAAGAUGAUAUAGAAAACUCUGCUGUUCUUAUACAUCCAAAAACAGCCCGGUUUUGCAUUUGAGAAUGCAAUGUAUUUGAGAUCCAAUUCAUAUGCCACAGAAAAACAUUUCUAUAAUCACACAGGUUGCCGACACUGAACCUCCAAAUAAAGUCAGUCACUUUGAGUGUGGGAAAAUUGGCUUUUCUUCAAAAUAAGAGUAAGUCCCCAUCCGCAUGCCUUCGUUACUCUUUCUUUUAGGUGGAGGUCAUUUAUAUAUACAAAUAAUUAAAUACACCUGCCCAAAGUGUAGAGUACAUAGGAGGAUAAUAGGUCUCUGCAGAAAAAAUGCCAGAAUUCAAUAUAAUUGAUCUAUCUGUGGAAUUUCUAAGGCACAUAACUCCUUAGUAUACGAGUGCCUUUUAUCUUGAUAAUUAAGUUGUCCCAGGCAUCCUACAUACUCCUACGGACUUCUAUUCGAGCCAGUCAUCGUUACAAAAGGCAGGUGGAAAUGGACACUAUUCAGAAGGUGUAAAUCAGGAUGGAAUGGAGACAAUAGGUCAAAUCUGAGACCUUAGUUCAAAUCUAGGGAAAAUGUCCUUCAUACAAUGUAUGACACAACCUUCAACUGCUAAUAGUCUAGACAGAUUCAGGUUUAAAUGUUCAGAAUCCCCAGAUUAUAUAUUUUAAGAAGAUCAUAUGGCGUUUGCGAUCUGCCAAAGAAUUUUCUUAUUCUGCCUUUGCUUCAGCAUUUUAUAAAAAAAAAAAAUCCAGCACUUUAUAGUGAGGUAGAGGCUAUACGUUAAUACAUUCUACUAGGGACAAAUUUUAAGCAGUGGAGGGUUAAUUGGUUAAUGAGAAGGUAAUGGUUCACAAUAGGCACAUCUACACAUGCCAAUUUAAGGCACAUUAGCCAUUUUAAGGCGCAUUAAGGGCGGAGUCUAUACGUGUGCACUCUUAAUGCACCUUAAAAAUGUCAAUUUUAGGCUAUUCGCACCUAAAUUUGAUACCUACAAAAGCAGGUAUCAAAUUUACGCACAAAUAGCUAAAGCGCCUUAAUGCACAUGUAGAUGCACUAUUGCGCAUUAACACUGUGUGUGUGAACUGACUUGGGACUAACUUGACUCCUGAGUCGCUCCACACACUGCAUUAUUGCGCCUUAGCGUGUGAACGUGUAGACACGCCAAAAUCGCCUUAAUGUGCAUUAGGCAAAUGCACAUUAAGUUUAGGCUCUCGUUAAAGCAUGUGUAGACCACCCAGUGGGUCUUAGAAAGCAAGUUUUCACCACACCAGUGAGUGCCUCCCAAUGCAGCCAAACAGACUGUAAGAUGCUCACUACAGGAACAGGUAUAAACCUGAUCUUGAAGGUAUGAUGAUAGCUCUCUGCCUUUCUUCCUCCAUUCAUCUAUACAGGAUUGCUGUAGAACUACAUUUUCUCCUGGUCUAGCAAACAUACCAAGCCAUGUUUUAUCUGCAGAUCAAGUCGAUGGGCUACUUAUUAAUUUCCCCAAAGGAAAUUCUGCUAUGUCUUCAUAGCCAGGGUGACAAUUAUCUAUGUGUGCAAAAAAAAUAUAUUAUUUCCAUUUGGUAAGAUUUAUGCCUGUGUUAAAUGGGAUAUCACAGCAUAAUUCUUAGAUCUGGCCUUGUUUAUGACCAUGGAUGUCAUUAACUACUAACUGAUGUGUCACUGUGAGCCAAGAGGGCAUGAGGCCAGGAAGUUCAUCUUAUUUUAUCUUGCAAGCAAUACUCAAGCCACAGUUCAUUAAGCACAGAAACUACUGGUAAUUAGAAGGAGCUAGGAGUCUACCUCUGGUGGCAGGUCCUUUGCUGAGCUGAGAUCCGCGAGACUGACCUGGCAUAGUCUCAGAGUAGCUGGAUUGGUGCAAUUUGAACAGGCGAGCGUUGCUGAGAGACUGACUGCAGUAGAAACAGCUUACUGGAGCUGCAAAGUUAUUGUAUAGCACACAUCCUGCACACACCAGCCCGACUGCACCUGUGGAAGCUUUUGUAAGGAGUGAGCAUGAAUAAGGCAGAACAUCCCACCACUAAUAGAUAUAUUUUCUAGCGAUGAGGUUUCCUGUUUUCCAGGCUGCGAUGUGACAAUUGAAGGGAACUGUGCAACGUGCAGCAAUCUUGGUGACUCUUUUAACCACUUACAGUCUGAGUAAAAAUAUCAAACUGAGGCAAAGACACCAUCAUAAGACUUCUAGAGAUGAUCAGGAUUUCUAAGCACCUGAGACCAAGGAAACAAUAUAGAAGCUGGGGUAUAAGGGCUGAAAAAUGAAAUAUUCUCCAAAUGAACCCAUAACCACAACGGUCAUUCCAGAGUUGGACUUAUUCAAGGAGUAUGGAUCCUAUCAAACAUGAUGAUGAGCUUCAUUUCUGCCUUUAUAGGUUUUAAGUAGGCUCACAUUCCUGGUAAUAUGAAUGAGCUAACAUCAGAGCAAUGUUUUCCCUCUUUUAUUAAUGGGUAAAAUGUGUGUAUUUUUGUGCAUGUGGGUAUUUUCCUUACCCCAAAACAAAAUGUCAUGGAUAGUGUGGUCCAAUGUCUUGAACAAAAGGUGGGAAUCCAUAGCUCUUGGAUGUGUCACACAGACUCUUGAUGUGCCCUUGGGUAACUCAUUUAAAUCUCUGUACAUCUCAUUUUUCCCAGUGUAGUGAAACAUUGAUUACUCCUAGGGCAAGAUUUGCAGGAAAUCUUGUCACCCAUAACCAAAACAAGACAGUUUCCACAACACGGUACAGAUAAUUAAUUAGAGUUCAGCAGUCUCAAGGGAUCCUUGUAAGUAAUUGGUACAGAAAGGCAUUUGCAAGGAGUGAAAGCUUAUUUUGUUUUAAAUGCAAUUAAAUACCACUGAUGCACUCUUUCCUGGCUCCACCUUUGGCCUUCUUCCCCACAAACUCCCAUCAUGCACAUUCCUGUAAGGACUAUACAUGUUCUUCUAUGUCCGAUCUUUAUUAUAUAUUACAGGUAUGCAUGGACUGAAUUAAACCAUUUCCAUAGUAACCAGUACAUCUGAUAAUAUAUACUGACGCAUAAUAAGUAAAACCUGUGGUUCUUAUAGUAUAUCAUGUUCAUAAAAAGGUACAUAUACUCUUAUUUCACAUAGGGUGGGUUCAAUAGGGGGGAGGGGGAUGUUAAGGCAACUUUUGUGUGUCACCGCUGUACCCUCUCAUACUUGCAGCUAUGCAUCUUCUUCGCACGGACCUGGAGGCUGGUAGAUGGGCCAGCCACUGAAUUACAUGCAUUUCCCCAGUACCGUGUGCUGUGGCCAGAUCUCUGCUGUGCCCCUGUGUUUCCAGUCCUGCGCACACAGUCCCAGGACCGUCGGGACUUCUACGUGCUAACAGUGCAGCCAUCCUCUACCCUGCCGGCUCUGAGGCUUCAGGCUAUUCUAACUCUCUUAGGAUCCGUAAAGGGAGUGGAGUCUCAGUCAUAAUUUCUCCGUAUUUCUUACCCGCAGCAUAACAAGUAGUGUCUUUGGGGGAAAAAAGUGGAAGUUUGAAGUGGGUAGCUUAAUUCCUUGAGAGGAUUCAUAUAUUCGGGAGCUUACCUGCGGAUACUUCAUCUCUCAUGCUUGGUAUACCUUAUUAUUAACAAGCUAGUGUUUCCCUUCAGCACUGAAUCCAUUUUUUCCCCAUAUAUGAUAGCAAAAUAGCAGCCAGGACAUAUUGUGCUUCCUAGGACUUCAGCAACAAACCGGAGGGAAGAUCCAUAAAUCCUGGCAACCAGGAAAUGACCCUUUCUUUGUCACCUAGGAGUAACUUUUUAUGCUGAGUAAAGUAUUCAGUGUAGAGUAUUUGUAAGUGCUCAGCAUCAGCCUAAAUUGGUUCCUGUUUCAGCCUAGAAUUGUACCCUAGACCAAAAUGGAGUUAGGCUAACUCUCAUACAUUUUUUUUAAAGUCCUACCCAAGAUGGUUUGCAGUUAUCACAUAGAUUGCACUGAUUUUUCAAAAGAGAAAAAUCUGGUACAGGGCAUGCUGAGUUGGAUAAGAGGGAUCUUGGUCAGGUAAACGAGGCAGUUUUAAUGAGUCAGAGUCCAAUCUGUCGUAAUACCUUCGAGAGAAGCUAACUCUGCUGGGAUCUUAGACCUUUCACUUCCAGAUUACUGCCCAGCUCAAAUCCACCUCAUGUCUGUACUUACUGAAAACCAGUAGCAUGACUGAUAAGAGGUCAGACUAAAUUUAAAAGCUAUUACAGACCGGAAGAGGUCCAUGGUUCCAAAUACAAAUGAGUACUUUGAGUAAGACCUGAGUCAAGGGCAAGAUUUAGCUUGGGGCGAUUAACUUCAUACCUUACCUGUCUGCCCCUUCCCGUACAGCAUCCUGCAGCAGUUUUCCUCCCCCAAAACAGACUUCGUUAGCAUGGGAAACUGCCAGCUGCUAAUUGCCGAACAAACAGAAACCAGUGGGCAGAACUGCCGGUAGGAGAGAAGUUGUUCUCAGUCCUGAAAUGGGGUCAGUGCUUUUUCUCAGGCUGCUCAGAACAGCGGGUCCCACUUGCCAGAGACCUUUCUCCACUUCUUGGCUAAUCUUUCCCACAUAAUUAACCACCACCUCAGCCCUUUUUCCUCUUAGGCAAGAACGACGUCUGGGGCUUUUGGUGCUGGGGUUUGAGGAAUGUGCUCUUGCUUCAUUGUAAAACGUGCAGCACAGAAAUUGCCUGAAUGCCACAAGGGAACUCACUGGUUCUUUAACAUCAAGAAACUCUGCAAAGAAUUAUAAUUUCAUGGAGGGAAAUUUGAAGUUACACAUAAGUAUUUGUUGGGGAGGGGUGUCUGGACUAACUUAGCCAUGGGUCUUGAACAGCUUGGCAAGUUCAGGACCAGAUGCCUAAGAAGGCAAUGCAAGAAACCCUGAAGUAACCUAUAUAUAGUCAUAGGAAAGGUAUUUUCCUUGCCCUUAUUAGCAAAAUGCUUGCUUAUGCCUGGAGGGUUAUAACUUUUUAAAAUCCUUGUUUAUUAUUAAAACCUUGUUUAUCAGAUCGUUGCCACGGUUCUAUGCAUUACACCGGGGAAACCGGGGAUGUAUCGUUAUUGCCACUGCGCUCGGUAACGGGCAUUUCGCCUACCUUGCACUACAGGAGAUUCAGAUCCGUCCGUGUUUUAUCACUAUAUAGUGCAGGACCGCUGGGACGUGUCAUUCUCGGUGCUCUCUUGGCAAGAAGCAUAAGCAGAAUAUGAAACACCCUCGAGGAUGUCAAUGCAAGGAGCUGAAAUUGCCCGUGGGCGAAUGUUCUCAGAAGUGCUAUUACAUCUUUGUCAUUGAGACCAUCUGUGUGGCUUGGUUCUCGCUGGAGUUCUGCCUACGAUU